GAUGAACGCUGGCGGCGUGCCUAAUACAUGCAAGUCGAGCGAACGGACGAGAAGCUUGCUUCUCUGAUGUUAGCGGCGGACGGGUGAGUAACACGUGGAUAACCUACCUAUAAGACUGGGAUAACUUCGGGAAACCGGAGCUAAUACCGGAUAAUAUUUUGAACCUCAUGGUUCAAAAGUGAAAGACGGUCUUGCUGUCACUUAUAGAUUGAUCCGAGCUGCUUUAGCUAGUUGGUAAGGACACGGAUUACCAAGGCAACGAUGCAUAACCGACCGGAGUGGGGGAUCGGCCGCCCGGGAAGUGAGACAGCCUCCAGACUCCUAAGGGAGGCACCAGUAGGGAACCUGCGGCAGUGGGCGAAAGCAUGACGGAGCAAAGCAGCGGGAGGGAUGAAGGUUUUCGGAUCGUAAAACAAUGUUAUUGGGGAGGAAAAUAUGUGUAAGUAACAGGAAACAUCUGAACGUAACAUAAGAAGAAAGCACGGCUUAACUACGU
Molecule: ribosomal RNA, 496 nt
Filed under: uncultured bacterium
Lineage: Bacteria
Description: partial 16S ribosomal RNA
Rfam family: Bacterial small subunit ribosomal RNA
Source: RNAcentral